This is a small nucleolar RNA of Melospiza melodia melodia, 205 nucleotides long. RefSeq annotates it as small nucleolar RNA SNORA74. The record is from RefSeq and is a predicted model, not a curated record. The transcript has a single exon. NCBI's taxonomy places the organism in Eukaryota, Metazoa, Chordata, Aves, Passeriformes, Passerellidae.
CCCAGCAGUAGUCAGCUGCCCGUGGCUGCUCAGUGCCUGUGCCAGUGUUAUGCUGCUGGGAGAGAAAGGUGCUGCUGAGCUUUCCUGGCACCAGCAAGGCCGUCCUGGUGCUCCAGUGGUGCCAGGUUUUGGCAGCACUCUGCAUGCCUGAGAGUGGAGUAACUCCUGCCCGUGGAGACCGGUGACUAGACUGUGAGUGUUCAUG